UGCAGUCGAGGGGUAACAUAGUUGCUUGCAACUGAUGACGACCGGCGCACGGGUGCGUAACGCGUAUAGUACCUACCUUAUAGUAAGGGAUAGCCCAGAGAAAUUUGGAUUAAUACCUUAUAGUAUCUUAAGUGAGCCUUCACUAAGGAUUAAAGAUUUAUCGCUAUAAGAUGGCUAUGCGUUCUAUUAGCUAGUUGGUAUGGUAACGGCAUACCAAGGCUACGAUAGAUAGGGGUCCUGAGAGGGAGAUCCCCCACACUGGUACUGAGACACGGACCAGACUCCUACGGGAGGCAGCAGUGAGGAAUAUUGGACAAUGGAGGCAACUCUGAUCCAGCCAUGCCGCGUGUAGGAAGACUGCCCUAUGGGUUGUAAACUACUUUUAUAGAGGAAGAAACCAUUUCACGUGUGAAAUGCUGACGGUACUCUACGAAUAAGGAUCGGCUAACUCCGUGCCAGCAGCCGCGGUAAUACGGAGGAUCCAAGCGUUAUCCGGAAUCAUUGGGUUUAAAGGGUCCGUAGGCGGUUUAGUAAGUCAGUGGUGAAAGUUUUCGGCUCAACCGGAAAAUUGCCAUUGAUACUGCAAGACUUGAAUUAUUGUGAAGUGGUUAGAAUGUGUAGUGUAGCGGUGAAAUGCAUAGAUAUUACACAGAAUACCGAUUGCGAAGGCAGAUCACUAAACAAUUAAUUGACGCUAAGGGACGAAAGCGUGGGUAGCGAACAGGAUUA
RNAcentral lists this ribosomal RNA (729 nucleotides) under Aquimarina sp. AU459_Ted2_MB20SE. RNAcentral describes it as "bacterial SSU rRNA". It matches the Rfam family "Bacterial small subunit ribosomal RNA", at positions 56 to 780 of the family's 1533-position model. The record is from RNAcentral. Lineage: Bacteria; Pseudomonadati; Bacteroidota; Flavobacteriia; Flavobacteriales; Flavobacteriaceae.